GCGGGUUCUACUUAUUGGUUCUCAACGACGGCCGGGGGUCAGAGGAGGAUCGCCAUGUCGUCCACGACGGCAGACCUUCCUUUCACAAGAUUCCUGCAAACGACAUGGUGUAGGAAGAACCAUUGCAGAUACUUUUUUCUGUUAUAAUUGGAUUUAUUUUUUUUGAACUCUAUAAUUGGAUUUAUUUAUUACUCUUUCGACAGUAACUAAACAUUCAUAGCCAACUUAAAUUCUCUGUAAUGUUGAUUUUGUAAAGAUCUUUUUGGUAUAACAACUGAUCACAGGGCUUUAUUUUCCCUAUUGAACCAUAAUGGAAAGGUUAAUUUGCAGUUUAGUACCAAGUUCUCAUAAAUUCCACCUAAUAAGGUGGGCUAAACAGAAUACUAACCACAUUUCUGCCUACGAAUAAGAAACAUGGUGAUGUCUUUGUUGUACUGCGACACCAUUUUUCGCAGGUUUACACACUGACCGACAAACAUUGUUAUCUCAAACGUCAAUUACUCCUACUAUGUAUUUACAUUAUGGAUAUGUUAAUAUCGAGUGAGAAUGGUUCAAUAGUGAUAAUUCGUAGCGUAGGUAAGAUGAAAUAAGAAAAGAAAGGAAAAGCAAAAGGGCCUAAUGAUACUAUAUCCAUUCUGUUGCCUGCCCUUUUAGACUUACAGAAACCAACAUGACUGAUCACUAGGCCACCAUAUGUUACGGCCAUAUUGGAGCAUGUAUUAUGGGGAAACCAAGAAAUGCGCUGAAAAAACACAAGGCGAAAAGGGAACCUAAUGGCAGGGAAAAUUCAAGGAAGUAGCAGGCCAAUUUGUGACGAUUUGCAAUCUAAUCAACCCUGAACCUAAACGAAAAGAUGACGGUGAAGUUACCAUCGAACUCAAUUUGUUGUCGAGCCAUGGGCUGAUUGCCCUGCUCAGUUGUCACACAUUGGGAACACACCAACUCAAUAAAAUCACAGCAUUCAACAAAUAAUGCAGAUCAGCAUUACUAAGAUCAGGCAUAGACUACUGGUAGGCUGGCAUAAAUUGCUACCUCUAGUCUUAGGUACUUAAGUUCAUUCUUGCAGAAAAAUCAUUAUAAGGAUUAGAGUGGGCUGAUACGAGAAGGCAUGAUGGAUUCGUGGCAACAAUUUAUCCAAACAAUACCGGAAAUGGUAAUCUUUCUCUGCUUGUUCAUCAGAAGAGCCCAUUGCAUCAGCAUUUUCUCAAUUUAUUGAUCCACCAACAAACACAAUGAGAUAAUCCAAGUUGGCAUGGCGCCAAGAUUUAUAACUUUGCAGCACAAAUCAGUAAGGGGGCCAAUUUUGCCAGGUUACAAGGCUAACAUGAAAAAAUUAGCUCCGAAUCUCAUGUUGGAUGAACAAAUUUGAAUUAGAUUUUGAGCUAAAUUUUAUUCACCAAUAAAACGACUUAAAAUUCUCCAAAGAACAGUAUAGUAUGGCCAAAGCUAACCUCGCUCAGAAGUCAGGAACUCCCCCCCAAAAUCGAAAGACUUCCGCGUGGAUUCGGUCUUCGAGGAGCGUCCCCCACCCCCCUUACUCGUCGAGCUGGUUGAGCUCGGCCUUGAGCUGCUCCAUCUUGAGCCCCAUGGAGCGGCGGAGCGAGUCGGCGUCCGCCGGCGGGAN
Molecule: long non-coding RNA, 1624 nt
Filed under: Oryza brachyantha (malo sina)
Lineage: Eukaryota; Viridiplantae; Streptophyta; Magnoliopsida; Poales; Poaceae
Description: long non-coding RNA (OBRA_LNC001335)
Source: RNAcentral